Xenia sp. Carnegie-2017 is the source of this 417-nucleotide RNA transcript. It is a transcript of the gene named guanine nucleotide-binding protein G(I)/G(S)/G(O) subunit gamma-7-like, with no coding region annotated. The record is from RefSeq and is a predicted model, not a curated record. The transcript is spliced from 2 exons. NCBI's taxonomy places the organism in Eukaryota, Metazoa, Cnidaria, Anthozoa, Malacalcyonacea, Xeniidae.
UAUAAAUAUUUCUGAACGGCUUGGUUUGUUUGUUUUGCGUUUCGAAUGAUUUGUUAGAAUGUCAAAUUGUGCGGCGUGUUCGAGAAAAUCAUCGUUGAAUUUGUUGCAAUUGAAUAAUAUUAGAAACGUUCAUGAUAUUUGCGCUCUAAUUUGUCAUUGAUUGAGGACGAACACGAAGGGGGACAAACAGAAAAACAGUGACAAAUGCCUUUUCCUGUGUGAGAUAUUUCAAAUUCUAUAGCAUUAUUAGAUUCUGUCAACAGUACCAAGAUAGUGAUCCGUUGUUGAACAAAAUUCCCUCAAGUGACAACCCGUUCACUCAUCAGGAUAAACCUUGUGCUGUUUUGUAAUGGUGAAAGUUAACUUAAAUGAUACGAUUACAUACACGUAAAUCAUGGAUAUUGGAUAAUCAUUUUA